RNAcentral lists this ribosomal RNA (513 nucleotides) under uncultured Bacteroidota bacterium. RNAcentral's name for it is "bacterial SSU rRNA". It matches the Rfam family "Bacterial small subunit ribosomal RNA", at positions 375 to 873 of the family's 1533-position model. Lineage: Bacteria; Pseudomonadati; Bacteroidota. The record is from RNAcentral.
GCGCAAGCCUGAUCCAGCCAUGCCGCGUGCAGGAUGACGGUCCUAUGGAUUGUAAACUGCUUUUAUACAGGAAGAAACCCUACCACGUGUGGUAGAUUGACGGUACUGUAGGAAUAAGGAUCGGCUAACUCCGUGCCAGCAGCCGCGGUAAUACGGAGGAUCCAAGCGUUAUCCGGAAUCAUUGGGUUUAAAGGGUCCGUAGGCGGUUUAAUAAGUCAGUGGUGAAAGCCCAUCGCUUAACGAUGGAACGGCCAUUGAUACUGUUAGACUUGAAUUAUUAGGAAGUAACUAGAAUAUGUAGUGUAGCGGUGAAAUGCUUAGAUAUUACAUGGAAUACCAAUUGCGAAGGCAGGUUACUAGUCAUAUAUUGACGAUGAUGGACGAAAGCGUGGGGAGCGAACAGGAUUAGAUACCUUGGUAGUCCACGCCGUAAACGCUGGAUACUAGCUGUUGGGAGCCAGCUCAGUGGCUCAGCGAAAGUGAUAAGUAUCCCACCCGGUACCCCACCGCUUG